AGCGAAGAAACCGGGGCUUCGGCCCCGGGUGCACAGCGGCGAACGGGUGAGUAACACGUGGGUAAUCUGCCCUCGGCACUGGGAUAGCCCGGGGAAACCCGGAUUAAUACCGGAUAGCCUCUCGGUUCCUCGGAACCGUGAGAAAAGGUGGCUUCGGCUUCCGGCUGAGGAGGAGCCUGCGGCGGAUUAGCUUGUUGGUGAGGUAAUGGCUCACCAAGGCGACGAUCCGUAGCUGGUCUGAGAGGACGAUCAGCCACACUGGGACUGAGACACGGCCCAGACUCCUACGGGAGGCAGCAGUGGGGAAUCUUGCGCAAUGGGCGAAAGCCUGACGCAGCGACGCCGCGUGAGGGAAGAAGGCCUUCGGGUUGUAAACCUCUUUCAGGAGGGACGAAGCCACUCGGGUUAAUACCCCAGAGGGUGACGGUACCUCCAGAAGAAGCCCCGGCUAACUACGUGCCAGCAGCCGCGGUAAUACGUAGGGGGCAAGCGUUGUCCGGAUUUAUUGGGCGUAAAGCGCGUGUAGGCGGCUAGGUAGGUCUGCUGUGAAAACUCGAGGCUCAACCUCGAGAUGUCGGCAGAAACCCUCUGGCUAGAGUCCGGAAAAAGAGAGUGGAAUUCCC
Molecule: ribosomal RNA, 623 nt
Filed under: uncultured bacterium
Lineage: Bacteria
Description: bacterial SSU rRNA
Rfam family: Bacterial small subunit ribosomal RNA
Source: RNAcentral